GACAGAGGGUGCAAACGUUGCUCGGAAUUAUUGGGCGUAAAGAGCGUGUAGGCGGCCAGGUAGGUCUGCUGUGAAAACUCGAGGCUUAACCUCGAGAUGUCGGCGGAAACCAUCUGGCUAGAGUCCGGAAGAGGAGAGUGGAAUUCCCGGUGUAGCGGUGAAAUGCGCAGAUAUCGGGAAGAACACCCGUGGCGAAGGCGGCUCUCUGGGACGGUACUGACGCUGAGACGCGAAAGCGUGGGGAGCGAACAGG
RNAcentral lists this ribosomal RNA (253 nucleotides) under uncultured bacterium. RNAcentral's name for it is "partial 16S ribosomal RNA". It matches the Rfam family "Bacterial small subunit ribosomal RNA", at positions 524 to 776 of the family's 1533-position model. The record is from RNAcentral.